GAAGCAGUCACAGCUGGAAAUUACGAAUUCCACAAGCUUCUUUCCCUUUUCUCCACUUUCUUCCUCUGGAUGCCAAGGUUUCUUCCAGCUGUCUGGAAAGAACAUCCUUCUGGGAGCCAGUUCAUGCUAAAGUGUCAGUCACAGUGGGUUUUCCUCAACAGGAAUAAAGCUGGCACAGAGCCUGUUCAUGGUGGAUACUUCAUAAAUGUUUGUUCAAGAAUAAAUUAGCCCACAAAAGAAUAAAUGAUGGAGUCGGAGAGACGGGAGAAGGAAAUGGAAGGUUCCUUGGAGGACUUUGGCUGUGUCAGGUAUCAGGUAGCAUCAUUCUAGACUGGAGUAGAGUGCCG
Molecule: long non-coding RNA, 347 nt
Organism: Balaenoptera acutorostrata (minke whale)
Lineage: Eukaryota; Metazoa; Chordata; Mammalia; Artiodactyla; Balaenopteridae
Exons: 3
Source: RefSeq, a predicted model, not a curated record